AAGGGGAGCAAUCCCUGAGUAUAGUGGCGACCGGGUGAGUAACACGUGACUACCUGCCCUUGAGUGGGGGAUAACCUCGGGAAACCGAGGCUAAUACCGCAUAAUAUCGCAAGAUCAAAGGAGCAAUCCGCUUUUGGAGGGGGUCGCGGCUGAUUAGCUAGUUGGUGAGGUAAUGGCUCACCAAGGCGAAGAUCGGUAUCCGGCCUGAGAGGGCGCACGGACACACUGGAACUGAAACACGGUCCAGACUCCUACGGGAGGCAGCAGUGGGGAAUUUUGCGCAAUGGGGGAAACCCUGACGCAGCAACGCCGCGUGGAGGAUGAAGCCCCUUGGG
Molecule: ribosomal RNA, 335 nt
Filed under: uncultured bacterium
Lineage: Bacteria
Description: bacterial SSU rRNA
Rfam family: Bacterial small subunit ribosomal RNA
Source: RNAcentral